RNAcentral lists this unclassified non-coding RNA (229 nucleotides) under plant metagenome. RNAcentral's name for it is "partial contains small subunit ribosomal RNA, internal transcribed spacer 1, and 5.8S ribosomal RNA". The record is from RNAcentral.
UCUCCGUAGGUGAACCUGCGGAGGGAUCAUUACAGAGUUCAUGCCCUACCGGGUAGAUCUCCCACCCUAUGUUAUUAUUACUUUGUUGCUUUGGCGGGCCGUUAGGCUCCGGCCCGACUACCGGCCCCGGCUGGUAAGCGCCCGCCAGAGGACCCAAAACCCUGAAUAUCAGUGUCGUCCGAGUACUAUAUAAUAGUUAAAACUUUCAACAACGGAUCUCUUGGUUCUG